GUGCUUAACACAUGCAAGUCGAACGGAAAGGCCCUGCUUUUGUGGGGUGCUCGAGUGGCGAACGGGUGAGUAACACGUGAGUAACCUGCCCUUGACUUUGGGAUAACUUCAGGAAACUGGGGCUAAUACCGGAUAGAGAGCUCCUGCUGCAUGGUGGGGGUUGGAAAGUUUCGGCGGUUGGGGAUGGACUCGCGGCUUAUCAUCUUGUUGGUGGGGUAGAGGCUUACCAAAGCUUUGACGGGUAGCCGGCCUGAGAGGGUGACCGGCCACAUUGGGACUGAGAUACGGCCCACACUCCUACCGCAGGCAGCAGUGGGGAAUAUUGCACAAUGGGCGGAAGCCUGAUGCAGCAACGCCGCAUGCGGGAUGACGGCCUUCGGGUUGUAAACCGCUUUCGCCUGUGACGAAGCGUGAGUGACGGUAAUGGGUAAAGAAGCACCGGCUAACUACGUGCCAGCAGCCGCGGCGAUACGUAGGGUGCGAGCGUCGUCCGGAUUUAUUGGGCGUAAAGGGCUCGUAGGUGGUUGAUCGCGUCGGAAGUGUAAUCUUGGGGCUUAACCCUGAUCAUGCUUUCGAUACGGGUCGACUUGAGGAAGGUAGGGAAGAAUGAAAUUCCUGGAGGAGCGGCGGAAUGCGCAAAUAUCAGGAGGGAACACCAGUGGCGAAGGCGGUUCUCUGAACCUCUCCCUGACGCUGAGGAGCGAAAGCGUGGGGGAGCGAACAGGCUUAGAUACCCUGGUAGUCCACGCUGUAAACGGUGGGGUACUAGGUGUGGGGUCCAUUCCACGGGGUUCCGUGCCGUAGCUAACGCUUUUAAGUACCCCGCCUGGGGAGUACGGCCGCAAGGCUAAAACUCAAAGGAAUUGACGGGGCCCCGCACAAGCGGCGGAGCAUGCGGAUUAAUUCGAUGCAACGCGUAGAACCUUACCUGGGUUUGACAUGGAUCGGAAGCGCUCAGAGAUGGGUGUGCCUCUUUUGGGGUCGGUUCACAGGUGGUGCAUGGCUGUCGUCAGCUCGUGUCGUGAGAUGUUGGGUUAAGUCCCGCAACGAGCGCAACCCUUGUUCACUGUUGCCAGCACGUUAUGGUGGGGACUCAGUGGAGACCGCCGGGGUCAACUCGGAGGAAGGUGGGGAUGACGUCAAGUCAUCAUGCCCCUUAUGUCCAGGGCUUCACGCAUGCUACAAUGGCUGGUACAGAGAGUGGCGAGCCUGUGAGGGUGAGCGAAUCUCGGAAAGCCGGUCUCAGUUCGGAUUGGGGUCUGCAACUCGACCUCACGAAGUCGGAGUCGCUAGUAAUCGCAGAUCAGCAACGCUGCGGUGAAUACGUUCCCGGGGCUUGUACACACCGCCCGUCAAGUCAUGAAAGUUGGUAACACCCGAAGCCGGUGGCCUAACCGUUGUGGGGGAGCCGUCGAAGGUGGGACUGG
Molecule: ribosomal RNA, 1427 nt
Filed under: uncultured organism
Description: 16S ribosomal RNA
Rfam family: Bacterial small subunit ribosomal RNA
Source: RNAcentral